Non-coding RNA from Danio rerio (zebrafish), 1595 nucleotides. The record is from RefSeq and is a predicted model, not a curated record. Lineage: Eukaryota; Metazoa; Chordata; Actinopteri; Cypriniformes; Danionidae.
UUCUUAUGGUAUCAACUGACCUUUUUCCUCUGUGUCUGGGCCAUAGAAAACCAAUGCUCCUCCUGUGGAGGCCGACACAUCAGCCAAAGGGAAUCCCCUGUCCUCCUCAGUGGAGGUGAUGGUGGAUUCUGCUCCUGUCAUCAAAAACAGAAAGUCAGAAGAACUGUUGGAGAAACCCAGAGGGUUGGACAUGCCUUCACCUGAAGCUCAGUUAAUACAUGCUAAAGAAGCAGAGUUGUCACAGAAGUCCAAGAUGAGUGCCAAUGGCAUAUGAGAAAGGCUGCAUGUGACCAUCAUCACCUCAUUCUGCUGGAGAAAGUGUGUAGAUGCUGGAGGAAGAGUCUCUCUCACAGUCUAUGAUCUCGAGAGACUCACAUCUUCCAUUCAGACCUGAUCAGCUACUCGCAUCACAUCCUCAAUCUGCUUUUAAAAAAACGGAAAGAGCAAAACGGUUUGGUUUGAAUUGAUCCAUCACUCCUGUUUGACAUCAAUGACAUUUACAACCAUGAACAUUUGACAGAUUAUGUAAAUUAGCGCACAAAAAAGGCUUCAAGAUUCUGUCCGGCCAGAAAAGGAACAAGGAACUUUGCCUCUUCUUUUUUUCUGAACUUCAUCAUGUAAAUGUGUAAAUAAAUUGUACAAUACCUGCAUAUUAUAUAAGUGCUGCCGCUUUAUACAGUCACUGUGCCAUACGUGUAGUUUAUGAGUUGGAAAAAUAAGAUUAUUUUAAUAUGAGGAAUGCGUACGAUUGCAUUCAGGAUUGAGUUUGGCAGAUGAUUUGUAAAUGGCAAAGUAUUUGGGUAUUUUUUUAUUUGAAAAUGUUCCAAUUCCCUUUUCGAGGGGAAUUUUUACGUUCACUCCCUCAGGAGAUGCGAUUAGCGGUGUAGCGAUUUACGCCAGGCCUGCCUGUGGCAGACUCUGCAGUUCGGCACAAAACCGUUUUAUCAGAAAGUGUGUAUUUAAUUUGUUGAUGAUAUGCCGUGUCCCCGUUUGAAUCAUGCAUUUAAAUAUUUUCCUUUGCGGAAAAGCCUAAAUACCUGUAGAAGUCCUGAGUUUACUUUUGAUAAAUAUUGAAAUAUUCCCCGAAGACAUAUUUUAUGUACCGUUUGGAUUGUUAUUGCUUUUCAUGUUGCACUGGAUGAAAACCACUGUGAGGGAAACAAUAUUGUACGGCAAUAUUCUAAAGAUUUACCUGUAUAAGCAUUGAAUCCCCCAGACGUGGCUUUGUUUAUCCUUUCGCCUGGCCUUUAAGUCAACUGUAACCUUCACUGAAUUUGUUACGUCUUGUCCCACUCUGUUCUGGUGCACUUUUUAAGUUGAUCAAUUGUGUAAAAUUGAAAAUUUAGCCUCUCGUUGUAAAAACCAGAGUAACAUCUUUGACCACUGUACAGUCAAGAAGUAAAGGUGCUCUUUUUGAAUCUUCAAGUGUUACACAACCCCAUUAUUAACUCCAUUUGUUUUGCGUCAUUUGAACAAAUGCCAUGGUUUUAGUUUUCAAAAUUUACAAGGUAAAAUUUACUCAUGUUUUCGAUUAAUUGACUUUUGUGUUCAGUUUAAGAGCAUUUCAUUAAAAAAAGAUUCAGAUCUCAAAAUGA